Long non-coding RNA from Cheilinus undulatus (humphead wrasse), 757 nucleotides. RefSeq lists it as uncharacterized. The record is from RefSeq and is a predicted model, not a curated record. NCBI's taxonomy places the organism in Eukaryota, Metazoa, Chordata, Actinopteri, Labriformes, Labridae. The transcript is spliced from 6 exons.
CGCACUUCGGAAAAGCUCAGCGGAGGAGUGGACGGUCGUUCUUGAACUUCGGCAGAUGUGAAGUUUUAACCCCCUCUUCCUGCUGGGCCAGGUACGUGAUAUCAGAUGUGAGAGUCUGCUCAGGGCACGCUUCCUCAUCUUACCAGGAUGGCACAGAAGAACUUCUUCUCCCUGAACGGGUUCUCUGACGCUGGCACAGGCGAUAGCAGUGGGUCCUCUUUGGCAUGGGCUUCGCAGUACGACAUCAAGUCUGCCGCUGCUUUUGAGACCUGAUACUCCUCCGUCUUUUCUAACCUCUUUGAUUAAAUGGAUCAAGCUGUGGGCACCCUGAAACAGCGUCAUCCUUGCUGCGUGAUCAAUCUUCCCUGCGCCUCCCCUCCGUCAUCCGUCUGUUUGCGCUGCGGUGUGACUCAGUGUGGGGUUAAGACUGAUCUCAGCAAGACCCUGACACUGAACGUCCUGAAUGUUGUUUAAAGCCUGCACAGCCUCACAGGUCUGAAACAUUUCCUCUGAACAGCCCUGGAAAAUCUCAACUCGCUGUCAGAUCAAGUGACAAUCUGAAGAGGAUGUACGAGCUUAACCUGCAGCAGAGCUCGCAGUAUUAACAGUGUCACAUAAACAUCAUGUUUUACAGCCAACGCAGCUGAGGGAUACUGGAUUUUCUCACUCUGAGGAAUACUUCACCUUUUAGGGUCAUGUUUUUGAUGAAACUCAGGAGGCUGUCAAAAAAAUAAAACCUAGUAUGUUGGUAUUUGCA